RNAcentral lists this ribosomal RNA (480 nucleotides) under uncultured bacterium. Its description in RNAcentral is "bacterial SSU rRNA". It matches the Rfam family "Bacterial small subunit ribosomal RNA", at positions 56 to 527 of the family's 1533-position model. The record is from RNAcentral.
UGCAAGUCGAGGGGUAACAGGGAUUAGUUUACUAGUCUGCUGACGACCGGCGCACGGGUGAGUAACGCGUAUACAAUUUACCUUUUACAGGAGGAUAGCCCAGAGAAAUUUGGAUUAAUACUCCAUGGUAUUAUCGGGUCGCAUGGUUUGAUAAUUAAAGUUUCGGUGGUAGAAGAUGAGUAUGCGUCCUAUUAGCUGGUUGGUAAGGUAACGGCUUACCAAGGCGACGAUAGGUAGGGGUCCUGAGAGGGAGAUCCCCCACACUGGUACUGAGACACGGACCAGACUCCUACGGGAGGCAGCAGUGAGGAAUAUUGGUCAAUGGAGGCAACUCUGAACCAGCCAUGCCGCGUGCAGGAAGACUGCCCUAUGGGUUGUAAACUGCUUUUAUACAGGAAGAAACUUAUCCACGUGUGGAUAACUGACGGUACUGUACGAAUAAGGACCGGCUAACUCCGUGCCAGCAGCCGCGGUAAUACG